This 427-nucleotide long non-coding RNA is filed under the name Elaeis guineensis (African oil palm). RNAcentral describes it as "long non-coding RNA (EGUI_LNC000811)". Lineage: Eukaryota; Viridiplantae; Streptophyta; Magnoliopsida; Arecales; Arecaceae. The record is from RNAcentral.
GUGUUUGAUGACUUAGAACCUAAAUUACGGAUGAUAAUGGCUAACAUGUCUGCUGGAUUAUAUUGGACAAGUGAAUUCACCGGCUGGCAACUUGGGCUGUCUCAUUGGAUAUUACCAUGGAGUAGGUUCCUCUGAUCAGUCAUCAGUGAUCCUGCCCGCUGUUUAGGCAAAUAUAUGUAGCAUGUGCCAAUGAGUGCUCCUUUUCACAUCAGGAAGAUCAAAAAAGAUCAUGGUAAUCAGAUGCACAUAUAUUUGUGAUCAGAUAUGAUUAUGUCAAAUAUUUUGAGCUUUGCAGAUUGAUACAAACAUUAUCUAAGAUAAAAGAAUUCUGUUAAAUAGUUGAGGACAAGUUCUGCUCAAGUAGGACAAGCACAAAUAGCUUUUUGUUUAUCUUUUACCUUUUUUUUUUUAAAAAAAAUUGUGAGAG